AAAUUCUAUCCGCCCGGGAGGGUUUACUACAAGCAUUAGCUUAAAACCCAAAGGACUUGGCGGUGCUUUAGACCCACCUAGAGGAGCCUGUCCUACGACACCUGAUGACCCCCCGCACAACCACCACNUCUGGCUCAAUUUUCCGCCUAUAUACCUCUGUCGUCAGCUUCCCCGGAUGGCGUCAUGUAUGCAUACUUGGCAUCCCCCCAUAACGUCAUGGUCAAGGUGCAGCGCUCGAAGUGUGGAAGAGAUGGGCUACAUUUUCUGGCCCAGAAAAUUACGAAAGGGGAAAUGAAAACACCCCCGAAGGAGGAUUUAGCAGUAAGCAAGGAGCAGAGUNCCC
This 343-nucleotide ribosomal RNA is filed under the name Diaphus watasei. RNAcentral describes it as "partial 12S ribosomal RNA". The record is from RNAcentral. Lineage: Eukaryota; Metazoa; Chordata; Actinopteri; Myctophiformes; Myctophidae.